RNAcentral lists this ribosomal RNA (541 nucleotides) under uncultured Gallionellaceae bacterium. Its description in RNAcentral is "bacterial SSU rRNA". It matches the Rfam family "Bacterial small subunit ribosomal RNA", at positions 135 to 671 of the family's 1533-position model. The record is from RNAcentral. Lineage: Bacteria; Pseudomonadati; Pseudomonadota; Betaproteobacteria; Nitrosomonadales; Gallionellaceae.
AGUGGGGGAUAACGUAGCGAAAGUUACGCUAAUACCGCAUAUGCCCUGAGGGGGAAAGGAGGGGAUCGCAAGACCUUUCGCUUUCGGAGUGGCCGAUAUCGGAUUAGCUAGUAGGUGAGGUAAAGGCUCACCUAGGCGACGAUCCGUAGCUGGUCUGAGAGGACGACCAGCCACACUGGGACUGAGACACGGCCCAGACUCCUACGGGAGGCAGCAGUGGGGAAUUUUGGACAAUGGGCGCAAGCCUGAUCCAGCCAUGCCGCGUGAGUGAAGAAGGCCUUCGGGUUGUAAAGCUCUUUCGGACAGAAAGAAAUCRCAUYMKCUAAUACCRGGUGGGGAUGACGGUACUGUAAGAAGAAGCACCGGCUAACUACGUGCCAGCAGCCGCGGUAAUACGUAGGGUGCGAGCGUUAAUCGGAAUUACUGGGCGUAAAGCGUGCGCAGGCGGUUUUGUAAGACAGAUGUGAAAUCCCCGGGCUUAACCUGGGAACUGCAUUUGUGACUGCAAGACUAGAGUGUAGCAGAGGGGGGUAGAAUUCCA